This 1195-nucleotide non-coding RNA is filed under the name synthetic construct. The record is from RNAcentral.
UGGUGAGAUGGAGGACAGUGAGAGCUCUGGAAGCCAUGUGUGCAACAUCUGCAGCGUUGGCUCGCGAGGGAGCUGCUUGGUAAGUGUGAUGUGAGAGGCAGCAGACUCUUCCGCCAUCUGAGUCACGAGGUGCAGAAACUGUUUGUUUGUUACCUCCCCCAUACAAAAGAGGCCGUGGCUGGCGGGAUAAAUAGUCUGAACCCAGCCCACCUCAGCAUCUGCCAGGUGCUCCACGUUGAUGGGUACAGGUUUGAAGGAGGGCACGGCCUGCAGGAGCCUGUCAUGAUCUAGCACCAGUUCCUUUUCAAGGGUUGGAUAUUUCUUUAUGUCCACAUAUCCUCCCACGUAUAUAGGUGCAUCAGCCAUGUUGGGGCGAUAUGUGAUAGUUGGAAAGCCAAUGUCUCCUGGCCUGCAGGCGCUACUGUCUAAAAUUUUAUUUAAGGAUAAAUUAAAUACGCUAUCCUCGACAGAAUUGAGGUUGUUACAUGCUAUCCUCUGUCACCUGUAUAAUUUUACCACCAAUUGUUACCUGUUCAAGUAUGCUCUCUAUAACACUGGUACAUAUGACAAUGGUGUCCUGGGCAGAAAAGUGCCCAUACAGUUUUGGACUCUGCUCUAUGAGGUGUGCCUAGAGAGUGGCCUGACAACGAAGGACCUCACUGACGAGACCGUGGCGGCCAGCCUCUGGUAUCGCCUGAACACGGCCGAUGAUGGAACGCUGUGUGGGUUCUGUGAAAAGAUUUUUAAAAAGCUGGGUCUGACCCAUCAUGUGGCGCUCGACCUAGUGAAUCUGAGAGAUGGUAACCUGCUGUUCAACCUGGGAAGCACCAUCCCUUGCAGGCUCCUGAUGUGCCUGCUCUUUUGUCUGAAAAAUUGGGGAGCGCAAGGCCUGGAGCCUUGGGUCAGGCACUACGUGGGAAAGUUCUUCCUCUUGUACUUGAUUCUGGCUGGUUAUCUUCUCCCCAGGAAAGAGUGUGUGGAAUUUGCCGCCACCCAGUCAUACGCUGGGCUAAUGGAAACCAUCUGUGCUGACAUCUUGACUUUCCAGGGGUCCCAGGCCCUUUCCCUCCCACCAGAUAAUUAUCUGCAGGAACUUGAUCAGUUGUUUACUUUUAACAACAGCUUUAUUUCUUACACCACGGCCACUGUAACAGGAAGUGCCCCCAACACACAAAAAUAAACAUAAUCAUAAACA